GACGAACGCUGGCGGUGUGCUUAACACAUGCAAGUGGUGCGACGAACCAGAGCUUGCUCUGGGGCAAAGCCGCGAACGGGUGAGUAACACGUGGGUAAUCUACCCCGAUGACCGGGACAACCCGAGGAAACUCGGGCUAAUACCGGAUGUGGUACGGAGACAUAAGUCUCUUUACUAAAGGUAGCUUCGGCUUCCGCAUUGGGAGGGGCCCGCGGCCCAUUAGCUAGUUGGUGGGUCAAGGCCUACCAAGGCAACGAUGGGUAGCUGGUCUGAGAGGACGAUCAGCCACACUGGGACUGAGACACGGCCCAGACUCCUACGGGAGGCAGCAGUGGGGAAUCUUGCGCAAUGCGCGAAAGCGUGACGCAGCAACACCGCGUGAGGGAAGACGGCCUUAGGGUUGUAAACCUCUUUCAGAUGGGACGAAGGUGAUGCGGUGAAUAGCCGAUGUCAUUGACGGUACCGUCAGAAGAAGCUCCGGCUAACUACGUGCCAGCAGCCGAC
This 504-nucleotide ribosomal RNA is filed under the name uncultured bacterium. RNAcentral describes it as "bacterial SSU rRNA". It matches the Rfam family "Bacterial small subunit ribosomal RNA", at positions 28 to 518 of the family's 1533-position model. The record is from RNAcentral.